This is a long non-coding RNA of Acyrthosiphon pisum (pea aphid), 191 nucleotides long. RefSeq lists it as uncharacterized. NCBI's taxonomy places the organism in Eukaryota, Metazoa, Arthropoda, Insecta, Hemiptera, Aphididae. The record is from RefSeq and is a predicted model, not a curated record. The transcript is spliced from 2 exons.
UCCCAGGACAAGAAGCUCAGUUCAACAGAAAUAUCUAACGAAAAAAAAAGAAAAUGUCGUACCGUACAAUUUCUUCAACUGAUUCAGAGAAUGAACAUUUCAGCGAAUUAAUUGAUAUGAGACCGUCUUUUUCAAAAACAAAACCUGGCACAAAACGUGCUGCAGAAAAAACAAGUGUGAAAAAACCUAUG